UCAACAAAGUCUGUAAUGUUGGAGUGCCC
RNAcentral lists this non-coding RNA (29 nucleotides) under Homo sapiens (human). The record is from RNAcentral. Lineage: Eukaryota; Metazoa; Chordata; Mammalia; Primates; Hominidae.